GAUUAACGCUGGCGGUAUGCAUAACACAUGCAAGUCGCGCGAGAAAGCACCUUCGGGUGUGAGUAGAGCGGCGAACGGGUGAGUAACACGUUGGAACCUGCCUUCAACUCAGGGAUAGCCCACUGAAAAGUGGAUUAAUACCGGAUAGUUCCCUUCGGGGUAAAGCUUCGGCGGUUGAAGAUGGGCCUGCGUCCUAUCAGCUUGUUGGUGAGGUAAUGGCUCACCAAGGCAAUGACGGGUAGCUGGUCUGAGAGGAUGAUCAGCCACAAGGGGACUGAGACACGGCCCCUACUCCUACGGGAGGCAGCAGUGAGGAAUUUUGCGCAAUGGGGGAAACCCUGACGCAGCAAUACCGCGUGGAGGAUGAAGGCUUUCGGGUCGUAAACUCCUUUUAUCUGGGAAGAAUUUUGACUGUACCAGAUGAAUAAGUCACGGCUAACUACG
Molecule: ribosomal RNA, 444 nt
Filed under: uncultured bacterium
Lineage: Bacteria
Description: bacterial SSU rRNA
Rfam family: Bacterial small subunit ribosomal RNA
Source: RNAcentral